CUUUUUUUCAGGAUAAUUGAUGUAAAGCCAAAUAAGACUUUUAACGACAGUUAACAUUAAAAAAACGCGUAUUACAAACAUAAUGGUCCUAGACCUACUGAUUUCGACCUUCUCUACUAUUGGUAGCCUAUAUACCUUCGUGGAUAAUGGAGUUCUAUGAAGUUUUGUUGCUGUACUAAUUUGAGUGUCUACACCGCAGGUCUAAUUGGAGUGAGGUAUGCUACAAUCCAACACAGUUUUUUAGGUAUUCUAUUCUUAUAAAGAAAAACAUCGGAAAAAUUCCUCUAGGAAUUUGAAUAGGAAUAAUCGGAGGAAUUACUAGAAUAAUUGCUGCAGUCUUUUUUGACGUGAAUUCUUUUGACGUGAACUAACUUUUGAAGAAUCCAUGGAGCCUUGGAGAAAUUAUUUUAGAAAUGUUUGGAAGAACUGCAGGAGUAAUUCCUGCAUGAAAUGUUGAAUAAAUUUGAUAGAAUUGUCUUGAUGAACAUCUUUAAGGUUCCUUUAUCUAAUUUAUACUGAGGAAUUCCUGGACAAAAGCUUUAUAUUUCUGGAAUAACCUCUGGAGACUUAGGAUGAGGACAAAAAAAACUACUGUUUCAAUGAAACUGGAAUAAACUGUUGUUGAUUUUCAUGAAAAAAACUUGUAUAACUGAAAAAAUAAAUCCUGGGAUAAUCGCUCAAAAAUACUUUCAGAGUAAUUUUAGUGGAAAACACUGAAAAAUUUCCUGCAGUAAAUUCCUUCAAGUAUCUUUUGAGAAAUUAAUCCAGGAGCAAUCAUCGAAAAAAAUCCUGAAGCCUUCCCUUGGGGAAUCUGAGAAAUUUCUAAAGAACCUCAAUGCCUUCAGCGAUUCCAUCAGAGAUUUUUAUAAGAAUUUCAUUCAAGAUUUCUUUCAAAAACUCCUAAAAACUUCCUUGAAAAAACACAAAGGAUUCUCCAGGAUUAGUUACAGAAUUUAACCAGAAUAGUAUGGAAUGUAUGAGAUUCUUCAAGAAUUUUAUUCAGUGAUUCAGGAUCAGGAAUUCUAGGGUUAAUUCCUAGAUAAAUACCGGAUUUUUUAGCCAUUUCUGCAAGAAACGCUAGGGGAAUUCAUGCUAGAGAAUUAUCAUGUAUGAGUUCCUAUAGGAACUUUUAAAAGGAUUUCUUAUUAUCGAACAGAUUCUUAGUACGGAUGUUGUCUAAAGGUGGACUAACAUUGUUAUGGUCCAUAGUCUUAUUUUAUUACUACAUGGCAUACAAUUCGUUAAAAGUAGUAAAAAAAAACAAUACAAUCCAUAACAAUUAAUUAUUUCCUUCUUCGGAGCUAGGAGCGACUGAUUAGAAAUAGGAACUUUAUAAGCCCAUGCCAGAAAAAAAAGACCAAGAAGGAUCCAGAAAGAAACCAAACAAGAACAAAAAUAAACAAA
This is a long non-coding RNA of Aedes aegypti (yellow fever mosquito), 1404 nucleotides long. RefSeq lists it as uncharacterized. The record is from RefSeq and is a predicted model, not a curated record. Lineage: Eukaryota; Metazoa; Arthropoda; Insecta; Diptera; Culicidae. The transcript has 2 exons.